AUGCUGGCCCUCGAGAACAAGAAGAACUGCGGAGCGAUCAUAUUGGCUCUUGGCGGAAGGAUCGGGCGGCUCGUUGAUGCGCUGAACGACCCCGUCGUCGUCGUCGGUGCCGCGAGGAUCAUGCACAACCUCUGCUCCUACUCCGGCGACGAGUGGCAGCUCCUUCUGAGAGGGGUCACAGUCGGCGCCGCCAAGGUGCUGAGGUCCAUCACGGUGGAGAAGGACAAGAUCCUCAACAUCUUCAUCGGGCUCGCGGCGCAGAUGCUCCGGUUCAUGGAGCCCGGGGAGCUCCGGGGGAGCCUCGUCGCAGCGCGCGUGGUGGACACGGUGCUGGCGAGGUCGCUGGUGCAGGUGCUGCGGGACUACAGCCGCCCGUCCAUGGACGUGCCUCGGGCCCGACGGUACACCAUAGAGCUUGCCAUGGCAUUGAUGCAGUCGGACGCACGCUACGUGGCCCUGUUCGUGGAGCUCGGCAUGGAGAACGAGCUGAGGAGCGUGGCCAUGACCACCUCGCAGCUGGAGUGCUUCAACGUCUUCUCCGGCAGCGUCGGGCUCAGCCGCCGCGACACCAGCGUCUGUUCCGUCGUCAAGUCAGCGUUGGAGCUGAUGAACAAGGGCUGGAAUUAA
Molecule: ribosomal RNA, 627 nt
Filed under: Triticum aestivum (bread wheat)
Lineage: Eukaryota; Viridiplantae; Streptophyta; Magnoliopsida; Poales; Poaceae
Description: partial small subunit ribosomal RNA
Source: RNAcentral